This 730-nucleotide ribosomal RNA is filed under the name Bacillus sp. 62HD17. RNAcentral describes it as "bacterial SSU rRNA". It matches the Rfam family "Bacterial small subunit ribosomal RNA", at positions 167 to 881 of the family's 1533-position model. The record is from RNAcentral. Lineage: Bacteria; Bacillati; Bacillota; Bacilli; Caryophanales; Bacillaceae.
UUCCGGAUGGUUGUUUGAACCGCAUGGUUCAAACAUAAAAGGUGGCUUCGGCUACCACUUACAGAUGGACCCGCGGCGCAUUAGCUAGUUGGUGAGGUAACGGCUCACCAAGGCAACGAUGCGUAGCCGACCUGAGAGGGUGAUCGGCCACACUGGGACUGAGACACGGCCCAGACUCCUACGGGAGGCAGCAGUAGGGAAUCUUCCGCAAUGGACGAAAGUCUGACGGAGCAACGCCGCGUGAGUGAUGAAGGUUUUCGGAUCGUAAAGCUCUGUUGUUAGGGAAGAACAAGUACCGUUCGAAUAGGGCGGUACCUUGACGGUACCUAACCAGAAAGCCACGGCUAACUACGUGCCAGCAGCCGCGGUAAUACGUAGGUGGCAAGCGUUGUCCGGAAUUAUUGGGCGUAAAGGGCUCGCAGGCGGUUUCUUAAGUCUGAUGUGAAAGCCCCCGGCUCAACCGGGGAGGGUCAUUGGAAACUGGGGAACUUGAGUGCAGAAGAGGAGAGUGGAAUUCCACGUGUAGCGGUGAAAUGCGUAGAGAUGUGGAGGAACACCAGUGGCGAAGGCGACUCUCUGGUCUGUAACUGACGCUGAGGAGCGAAAGCGUGGGGAGCGAACAGGAUUAGAUACCCUGGUAGUCCACGCCGUAAACGAUGAGUGCUAAGUGUUAGGGGGUUUCCGCCCCUUAGUGCUGCAGCUAACGCAUUAAGCACUCCGCCUGGGGAGU